This 495-nucleotide ribosomal RNA is filed under the name uncultured bacterium. RNAcentral describes it as "partial 16S ribosomal RNA". It matches the Rfam family "Bacterial small subunit ribosomal RNA", at positions 29 to 507 of the family's 1533-position model. The record is from RNAcentral.
AUGAACGCUGGCGGCGUGCCUAAUACAUGCAAGUCGAGCGAACAGACGAGGAGCUUGCUCCUCUGACGUUAGCGGCGGACGGGUGAGUAACACGUGGAUAACCUACCUAUAAGACUGGGAUACUUCGGGAAACCGGAGCUAAUACCGGAUAAUAUAUUGAACCGCAUGGUUCAAUAGUGAAAGACGGUUUUGCUGUCACUUAUAGAUGGAUCCGCGCCGCAUUAGCUAGUUGGUAAGGUAACGGCUUACCAAGGCAACGAUGCGUAGCCGACCUGAGAGGGUGAUCGGCCACACUGGAACUGAGACACGGUCCAGACUCCUACGGGAGGCAGCAGUAGGGAAUCUUCCGCAAUGGGCGAAAGCUUGACGGAGCAACGCCGCGUGAGUGAUGAAGGUCUUCGGAUCGUAAAACUCUGUUAUUAGGGAAGAACAAAUGUGUAAGUAACUAUGCACGUCUUGACGGUACCUAAUCAGAAAGCCACGGCUAACUACGUG